AACCAGCACCCUCAAGUGGUCAGGAUGAUUAUUGGGUCCGUAAACGCAUCCGUAGCUCGUUUUGUUAAGUUUUCGGUUAAAUCCAUACGCUUAACGUAUGGGCUGCCGGGAAUACUGCAUAACUAGGAAGUGGGAGAGGUAGACGGUACUCGGUAGGAAGGGGUAAAAUCCUUUGAUCUAUUGAUGACCACCUGUGGCGAAGGCGGUCUACCAGAGCACGUUCGACGGUGAGGGAUGAAAGCUGGGGGUAGCAAACC
Molecule: ribosomal RNA, 257 nt
Filed under: uncultured bacterium
Lineage: Bacteria
Description: partial 16S ribosomal RNA
Rfam family: Archaeal small subunit ribosomal RNA
Source: RNAcentral